RNAcentral lists this ribosomal RNA (496 nucleotides) under uncultured bacterium. Its description in RNAcentral is "partial 16S ribosomal RNA". It matches the Rfam family "Bacterial small subunit ribosomal RNA", at positions 28 to 507 of the family's 1533-position model. The record is from RNAcentral.
GAUGAACGCUGGCGGCGUGCCUAAUACAUGCAAGUAGAACGCUGAAGGAGGAGCUUGCUCUUUCCGGAUGAGUUGCGAACGGGUGAGUAACGCGUAGGUAACCUGCCUGGUAGCGGGGGAUAACUAUUGGAAACGAUAGCUAAUACCGCAUAACAGUAGAUAUUGCAUGAUAUUUGCUUGAAAGGGGCAAUUGCUCCACUACCAGAUGGACCUGCGUUGUAUUAGCUAGUUGGUGAGGUAACGGCUCACCAAGGCGACGAUACAUAGCCGACCUGAGAGGGUGAUCGGCCACACUGGGACUGAGACACGGCCCAGACUCCUACGGGAGGCAGCAGUAGGGAAUCUUCGGCAAUGGACGGAAGUCUGACCGAGCAACGCCGCGUGAGGGAAGAAGGUUUUCGGAUCGUAAAGCUCUGUUGUAAGAGAAGAACGAGUGUGAGAGUGGAAAGUUCACACUGUGACGGUAUCUUACCAGAAAGAGACGGCUAACUACGUG